This 206-nucleotide ribosomal RNA is filed under the name uncultured bacterium. RNAcentral describes it as "partial 16S ribosomal RNA". It matches the Rfam family "Bacterial small subunit ribosomal RNA", at positions 568 to 774 of the family's 1533-position model. The record is from RNAcentral.
UGCGUAGGCGGCGUGGUAAGUCGGAUGUGAAAUCUCGGAGCUUAACUCCGAAACUGCAUUCGAUACUGCCGUGCUUGAGGACUGGAGAGGAGACUGGAAUUUACGGUGUAGCGGUGAAAUGCGUAGAUAUCGUAAGGAAGACCAGUGGCGAAGGCGGGUCUCUGGACAGUUCCUGACGCUGAGGACAAGGCCAGGGGAGGCAAACG